AGAGUUUGAUCCUGGCUCAGGAUGAACGCUGGCGGCGUGCUUAACACAUGCAAGUCGAAGAGGUUAAUUGAGCGGAUUAUUUCGGUAUGAAGCACUUUUAACUGAGUGGCGGACGGGUAGUAACGCGUGGGCAACCUGCCUCAUUCAGGGGGAUACCAGUUGGAAACGACUGUUAAUCCGCAUAAGCGCACGGUUCCGCAUGGAACAGUGUGAAAAGCUCCGGCAGAAUGAGAUGGCCCGCGUCUGAUUAGCUAGUUGGUGAGGUAACGGCCCACCAAGGCGACGAUCAGUAGCCACCUGAGAGGGUGACCGGCCACAUUGGGACUGAGACACGGCCCAAACUCCUACGGGAGGAGCAGUGGGGAAUAUUGCACAAUGGAGGAAACUCUGAUGCAGCGACGCCGCGUGAGUGAGAAGUAUUUCGGUAUGUAAAGCUCUAUCAGCAGGGAAGAAGAUGACGGUACCUGCACAAAAGCCCCGGCUAACUACGUGCCAGCAGCCGCGGUAAUACGUAGGGGGCAAGCGUUAUCCGAUUUACUGGGUGUAAAGGGAGCGUAGAUGGAAUGGCAAGUCAGAUGUGAAAGGCAUGGCUCAACCCGUGGACUGCAUUUGAAACUGCCAGUCUGGAGUGUCGGAGGGGCAGGCAGAAUCCUGGUGUAGCGGUGAAAUGCGUAGAUAUCAGGAGGAAUACCGGUGGCGAAGGCGGCCGCUGGACGAUAACUGACAUUGAGGCUCGAAAGCGUGGGGAGCAAACAGGAUUAGAUACCUGGUAGUCCACGCAGUAAACGAUGAAUACUAGGUGCUGGCUUCCACAGGGAGUCGGUGCGCCGCUAACGCAUUAAGUAUUCCACCUGGGGAGUACGUUCGCAAGAAUGAAACUCAAAGA
Molecule: ribosomal RNA, 886 nt
Filed under: uncultured bacterium
Lineage: Bacteria
Description: bacterial SSU rRNA
Rfam family: Bacterial small subunit ribosomal RNA
Source: RNAcentral